GUUUUGUGGUUCUAUCAAUGAGAAAUACACACAGUAUUGUGUAAAGCACGAAUGUCCUAUUUGUUACAAAUGUAUCAAAGAACAUGGUAACUGCGACGGAGUGACAGUUCUUGAAGAUCUAACACUAGACGUAAAAACAUCAGAGGUGUUCCGAGAUAUGGAACAAAGACUAAAGGAUAUAAUGAUUAAAAUCAGUCGAAUUCGAAAAGACAGGGAGUCCAAUGUUAAAAUAAUUAGGGAUACAAAAGAACUGAUCAUCACAGAUGUCACUCGCUUGAAGCAAAAGAUUAACAGCCAC
This 298-nucleotide long non-coding RNA is filed under the name Mytilus galloprovincialis (Mediterranean mussel). The record is from RNAcentral. Lineage: Eukaryota; Metazoa; Mollusca; Bivalvia; Mytilida; Mytilidae.